RNAcentral lists this ribosomal RNA (429 nucleotides) under Acidobacteriota bacterium. RNAcentral describes it as "Acidobacteria bacterium partial 16S ribosomal RNA". It matches the Rfam family "Bacterial small subunit ribosomal RNA", at positions 355 to 776 of the family's 1533-position model. Lineage: Bacteria; Pseudomonadati; Acidobacteriota. The record is from RNAcentral.
UGGGGAAUUUUGGACAAUGGGGGAAACCCUGAUCCAGCCAUCCCGCGUGUGCGAUGAAGGCCUUCGGGUUGUAAAGCACUUUUGGCAGGAAAGAAACGUCAUGGGUUAAUACCCCGUGAAACUGACGGUACCUGCAGAAUAAGCACCGGCUAACUACGUGCCAGCAGCCGCGGUAAUACGUAGGGUGCAAGCGUUAAUCGGAAUUACUGGGCGUAAAGCGUGCGCAGGCGGUUCGGAAAGAAAGAUGUGAAAUCCCAGAGCUCAACUUUGGAACUGCAUUUUUAACUACCGGGCUAGAGUGUGUCAGAGGGAGGUGGAAUUCCGGGUGUAGCAGUGAAAUGCGUAGAUAUGCGGAGGAACACCGAUGGCGAAGUCAGCCUCCUGGGAUAAAACUGACGCUCAUGCACGAAAGCGUGGGGAGCAAACAGG